Molecule: transfer RNA, 75 nt
Filed under: Candidatus Pelagibacter communis
Lineage: Bacteria; Pseudomonadati; Pseudomonadota; Alphaproteobacteria; Candidatus Pelagibacterales; Candidatus Pelagibacteraceae
Description: tRNA-His
Rfam family: tRNA
About the family: Transfer RNA (tRNA) molecules are approximately 80 nucleotides in length. Their secondary structure includes four short double-helical elements and three loops (D, anti-codon, and T loops). Further hydrogen bonds mediate the characteristic L-shaped molecular structure. tRNAs have two regions of fundamental functional importance: the anti-codon, which is responsible for specific mRNA codon recognition, and the 3' end, to which the tRNAs corresponding amino acid is attached (by aminoacyl-tRNA synthetases). tRNAs cope with the degeneracy of the genetic code in two manners: having more than one tRNA (with a specific anti-codon) for a particular amino acid; and 'wobble' base-pairing, i.e. permitting non-standard base-pairing at the 3rd anti-codon position.
Source: RNAcentral
GCCUGGGUGGUGUAAAGGUUAGCACGAAAGUUUGUGGAACUUUAAGUUUGAGUUCGAUUCUCAGCCCGGGUACCA